This 253-nucleotide ribosomal RNA is filed under the name uncultured bacterium. RNAcentral's name for it is "partial 16S ribosomal RNA". It matches the Rfam family "Bacterial small subunit ribosomal RNA", at positions 524 to 776 of the family's 1533-position model. The record is from RNAcentral.
UACAGAGGUCUCAAGCGUUGUUCGGAUUCAUUGGGCGUAAAGGGUGUGUAGGUGGCGCGCUAAGUCGGGUGUGAAAUUUUGGAGCUUAACUCCGAAACUGCAUUCGAUACUGGCGUGCUUGAGGACUGGAGAGGAGACUGGAAUUCAUGGUGUAGCAGUGAAAUGCGUAGAGAUCGGGAAGAACAUCGGUGGCGAAAGCGCUCUGCUGGACUGCAACUGACACUCAGGGACGAAAGCUAGGGGAGCGAAUGGG